GACGAACGCUGGCGGCGUGCUUAACACAUGCAAGUCGAACGGAAAGGCCCUGCUUUUGUGGGGUGCUCGAGUGGCGAAGGGGUGAGUAACACGUGAGUAACCUGCCCUUGACUUUGGGAUAAAUUCAGGAAACUGGGGCUAACACCGGAUAGGAGCUCCUGCUGCAUGUGGGGGGUUGGAGAGUUUCGGCGGGUGGGGCUGGAGGCGCGGCUUCUCAGCUUGUUGGUGGGGGAGGGGCUUGCCACGGCUUGGACGGGUAGCCGGCCUGAGAGGGUGACCGGCCACAGAGGGACUGGGGUACGGGCCAGAGGCCUACGUGAGGCAGCAGUGGGGAAUAGUGCACAAUGGGCGGAAUGCUGAUGCAGCAACUCCGCGUGCGGGAUGACGGCCUUCGGGUUGUAAACAGCUUUCGCCUGUGACGAAGCGUGAGUGACGGUAAUGGGUAAAGAAGCACCGGCUAACUACGUG
RNAcentral lists this ribosomal RNA (468 nucleotides) under uncultured bacterium. RNAcentral's name for it is "partial 16S ribosomal RNA". It matches the Rfam family "Bacterial small subunit ribosomal RNA", at positions 28 to 507 of the family's 1533-position model. The record is from RNAcentral.